AUGGUGAAGGCCAUGGCGGGAUGCCCGGCGAAGAUGAGGUUCCGGAUGCCCGCCGAGUGGGAGCCGCACGAGCAGUGCUGGAUGGGCUGGCCGGAGCGUCCAGACAACUGGCGGGAGCAUGCUGAGCCAGCUCGAAAAACAUUUGAGAGAACUGCAAUUGCCAUUUCAAAGUUUGAGCCUGUCACCAUUUGCGCAAGUGCCAAACAGUAUCCUCGUGUCCACGAGCUGAUGGAACACCAACCGAACAUCAGGGUGGUCGAGAUGAGCAUGAAUGAUUCCUGGUUCCGUGAUACUGGUCCCACUUUUAUUACCCGUGAAGGCGGAUCUGAUAUAGGACUCGCAGAGCAAACAAUAGCGGGGAUUGACUGGGAAUUUAACGCAUGGGGAGGACUCGGUGGUGGUUGCUUUGAUGAUUGGAGUCUUGACAGAAGCAUUGCCAAGAAGAUAGUUGAGAUUGAGAGGAUCCCUAGGUUUGCACACACAAUGGUUCUUGAGGGUGGAAGCAUUCAUGUAGAUGGAGAAGGUACAUGCAUUACAACAGAAGAAUGCUUGUUGAAUCCUAACAGGAACCCUCACAUGACUAAACUAGAGAUAGAGAAUGAACUGAAGGAUUUUCUUGGAGUCACGAAGAUCAUUUGGAUACCUCUGGGACUACACGGUGACGAGGAUACAAAUGGGCAUGUUGACAAUUUAUGCUGUUUCAUCAAACCCGGCGUGAUUCUCUUGUCAUGGACGGAUGACGAGAACGACCCGCAGUACGAGAUAUCUGUGAAGGCACUAUCAGCUCUCACUCAGGCCGUCGAUGCGAAAGGGCGGCAGAUAGAGGUGGUGAAGAUCCACGUGCCAGGGCCUCUGUACAUCACGAAGGAAGAGGGGGAAGGUGUUCUUGCAACGGGGCAUGCUGUACCGAGGGUACCAGGCAAGAGAUUGGCCGCCUCAUAUGUGAACUUCUACCCAGCGAAUGGCGGGAUCAUAGCGCCGGCUUUUGGCGAUAAGAAGCGGGAUGACGAAGCGUGCGAGGUUCUUCAGAAGGCAUUUCCUGAUCGUGAGGUUGUGAUGGUGGAAGGCGCAAGGGAGAUCGUGCUGGGAGGUGGGAACAUACACUGCAUCACGCAGCAGCAGCCGGUGCGCCCGUCAUAG
This 1140-nucleotide ribosomal RNA is filed under the name Triticum aestivum (bread wheat). RNAcentral describes it as "partial small subunit ribosomal RNA". The record is from RNAcentral. Lineage: Eukaryota; Viridiplantae; Streptophyta; Magnoliopsida; Poales; Poaceae.